GUUUCAGUCUAAUUGAAGACUGUAAGUAAUUUAGAAUCAAAGGGAAUCUUUGUUUGACUGGCAAACAGCCGAAGGAUGAACUCUUAGCACACCCUGGUAGAUGGGAGCUGGGUGGGAAGGCAGCUUGCACGGGCUGUGCUGGGAUGGGAACGGGCUGGUGCUCUGCCUGGGUGUGCUGCUAAUGCCUCAAUCCAUCUCCUGAGCAGAGACUGAGAACAUCAAACCCUGCCACAGCCUCCAGGUGACAUAGUACUGUUCCUGCAACUGCUGCUCUUCAGCCAAGGUGACCCCCAGUUGCAGAGGAUGACUGAAGGAAUGCAAAUUAAUCGAAACAAGCUAUACUGCAGGUGGCUUAAUGUGCCCAUAGGCUCCUUUUUGAGGAGUGGGAGCUAAUAAAGUUUGUGUGAAAACCAAGAGGAGACGCCCUGCUCCCUUUGGGAUCACGCCGUGCUGCUCGGUACGGACAGUCGGGCACAGAACAUUGGCAUGGAACGUGCCCCUGGAACUGGAGCUACUUGGCCUGCUAAAGACAAAAAAAGCGAACGGCAGGAGAACUGAAAUGAGAUGUGGACGCAGAAGAAGCAAACAGCAGCACAGGGCUGGGAGAGCAGCUUUCAAAGGCUGA
RNAcentral lists this long non-coding RNA (625 nucleotides) under Lonchura striata (white-rumped munia). RNAcentral's name for it is "domestica (Bengalese finch) lncRNA (ENSLSDG00000012367.1)". The record is from RNAcentral. Lineage: Eukaryota; Metazoa; Chordata; Aves; Passeriformes; Estrildidae.